Schistosoma curassoni is the source of this 46-nucleotide non-coding RNA. The record is from Rfam. Lineage: Eukaryota; Metazoa; Platyhelminthes; Trematoda; Strigeidida; Schistosomatidae.
CGACUUCUAAGGAGUCCCACAAUAGGACGAAACAGCCGUCCAGUAC